GGACAUUUUCCCUGCUUAGGCAGCCACAGCACAGAGAUAGAAUUAGUCACAAGAUUAGUCCAGCUUAAAUAAGCAGAAGUCAAGUUAGUGCUUCACAGAUUGGUCUUUUAGCAGAUGCUCUGCCCUUUCGAGGAAUGCAAGGGGCAAAUGUGAGCUCUUAAGGAUAUUUUACAUUUACGCAAUGAAGUUACGCUGUUCAAAAAACUUUCUCAUCUUUCUGCCCUUGUGCAACCUAAUUUCUCUUACCAGAAACCUGAGGCUCCAAAGUUCUGGAGGCCGGAAGUCCAGGGUCAAGGUGACAGUGGAUUCGUUUCCUGGUGAGGACCCUCUUCCUGGUUUGUACAUGUGAUUCCUAGCAGUCUCCAUUUUGAAGUUCUCUUCUCCUUUGACCAAGCAUCCAGCACAUCCUCACAACACUCCAAAGCCACCUUGAAGACUCUCUUCAAAGCAGUUCUUACUGUUGAUACCACCACCAUUGUUCCGACACAUGAGGCAGGAGGACCCAAGGCCAGAGGUCAUGGUGGAGAGAUGAGCAGAUAGUCCUCAAAGGCAGACAGGGCUGGGGUUGGAGAGGAAUUCCCUAAUAGCUGUUAUAAAUGGAGAUAUGACAGGUGUGAACAAACAACCUAGGACUGGAAGAAAGAAGAGGGAGGAGUCGGGUAGAGAUAGUACUUGGAGUGGAUGCCCAGGCUGUGUAGUGACAUAAAGGGG
Molecule: long non-coding RNA, 711 nt
Filed under: Pan troglodytes (chimpanzee)
Lineage: Eukaryota; Metazoa; Chordata; Mammalia; Primates; Hominidae
Description: lincRNA
Source: RNAcentral